CCCGCACACUGUUAAAGCGCGGCUCCGAGGUCGGUGUCCGGGUGUCGGAAGUGUGCCAGAGUAACACGGCAGGUUUUUCGCUAACACCACGAGGGCUCCGGUCCCAUGAGUGGGGUUUGAUAGUACUCCGUGCCACAGGC
Molecule: small nucleolar RNA, 140 nt
Organism: Polyodon spathula (Mississippi paddlefish)
Lineage: Eukaryota; Metazoa; Chordata; Actinopteri; Acipenseriformes; Polyodontidae
Source: RefSeq, a predicted model, not a curated record